RNAcentral lists this transfer RNA (72 nucleotides) under Mesitornis unicolor (brown roatelo). It matches the Rfam family "tRNA". From Rfam's summary of the family: Transfer RNA (tRNA) molecules are approximately 80 nucleotides in length. The record is from Rfam by way of RNAcentral. Lineage: Eukaryota; Metazoa; Chordata; Aves; Mesitornithiformes; Mesitornithidae.
GGGGAUGUAGCUCAGCGGUAGAGCGCUUGCUUUGCAUGUAAGAGGCACUGGGUUCAACCCCCAGCAUCUCCA